CGCCAGCCGACACGGUGUCCAUCGCUCACCCUCAGCUGGUGAGCCACUCAACCUCUACCGUCAACCGGACGGUGCUACGAGUGGUAAUGGUGUGGACUCUGCUAAAGGUAUGCAAAUCUUUGUUCCUAAAAUCAACGACAAGCAAAAGUUCCCUCAGGAUGGAACAGGAGAUAUAGUGGAGUCCUUUGGUAAAUUGAAGCUGUCUGAAG
Molecule: long non-coding RNA, 209 nt
Organism: Setaria italica (foxtail millet)
Lineage: Eukaryota; Viridiplantae; Streptophyta; Magnoliopsida; Poales; Poaceae
Exons: 3
Source: RefSeq, a predicted model, not a curated record